GAACCUUACCUGGGCUCGAAAUGCUAUGGACCGGAGUAGAAAUAUUCCUUCCCCGCAAGGGGCCGUAGUAUAGGUGCUGCAUGGCUGUCGUCAGCUCGUGUCGUGAGAUGUUGGGUUAAGUCCCGCAACGAGCGCAACCCUUACUUCCAGUUGCCAUCAUUUAGUUGGGCACUCUGGCAGAACCGCCUCGGAUAACGGGGAGGAAGGUGGGGAUGACGUCAAGUCCUCAUGGCCUUUAUGUCCAGGGCUACACACGUGCUACAAUGGUCGGUACAAACCGUCGCAAACCCGCGAGGGGGAGCUAAUCGGAAAAAAGCCGACCUCAGUUCGGAUUGUAGUCUGCAACUCGACUACAUGAAGCUGGAAUCGCUAGUAAUCGCGGAUCAGAAUGCCGCGGUGAAUACGUUCCCGGGCCUUGUCACACCGA
RNAcentral lists this ribosomal RNA (427 nucleotides) under uncultured soil bacterium. Its description in RNAcentral is "bacterial SSU rRNA". It matches the Rfam family "Bacterial small subunit ribosomal RNA", at positions 966 to 1393 of the family's 1533-position model. The record is from RNAcentral.